Molecule: unclassified non-coding RNA, 307 nt
Filed under: plant metagenome
Description: partial contains 5.8S ribosomal RNA, internal transcribed spacer 2, and large subunit ribosomal RNA
Rfam family: 5.8S ribosomal RNA (bases 1-105)
Source: RNAcentral
GAAAUGCGAUAAGUAGUGUGAAUUGCAGAAUUCAGUGAAUCAUCGAAUCUUUGAACGCACAUUCCGCCCUUUGGUAUUCCAAAGGGCAUGCCUGUUCGAGCGUCAUUUGUACCCUCAAGCUUUGCUUGGUGUUGGGCGUCUUGUCUCUAGCUUUGCUGGAGACUCGCCUUAAAGUAAUUGGCAGCCGGCCUACUGGUUUCGGAGCGCAGCACAAGUCGCACUCUCUAUCAGCAAAGGUCUAGCAUCCAUUAAGCCUUUUUUCAACUUUUGACCUCGGAUCAGGUAGGGAUACCCGCUGAACUUAAGC